This 498-nucleotide long non-coding RNA is filed under the name Coturnix japonica (Japanese quail). RNAcentral describes it as "lncRNA (ENSCJPG00005008249.1)". The record is from RNAcentral. Lineage: Eukaryota; Metazoa; Chordata; Aves; Galliformes; Phasianidae.
GAUUUACUUGUGUCCCUGGCCUGUUGUGAUAAUCUUCUGAAUGUCAUCGUUGUGAAGGUUUUGUUCUUCCCAAAAACUCGUCAGAGGUUCUGUGAAGGCAAGUAGGGUUUCUUCUGAUUAAAAGUAUUUCCAGGGAUACUGGAAUGGCACAAGUUCCAGGAAGUUUGCAGUGAAGUGUCUGCUUUCACUGCUCAGAUUCAAGCCCAUUAAAGGAUUUAAGGAAAUCCAUUCAGUGCUUUGCAAUUAGAACAAAUGUGAACCAUUCCAAUGAGUUGCAGAACAGUGAGGAAGAAGAGCCUGAAAAGGUAACUAAGAGUUAACUGGCUACAUUUCAGCUGUCACCAUUGUCUUACAUCUACAGAGAGAGUGGGGAGAGCCAAGGAGAUGUAAGUACAGCAGGCCACUGGGAAAAAAAAAAACAGCAACAAAACGUUUAUAAGUAGAAAUUUCUCCUCAGAAGUCUCAGAGCAAAUCUUUCCAGUUUGUCUUGAUUUUUCU